This 245-nucleotide ribosomal RNA is filed under the name uncultured bacterium. RNAcentral's name for it is "partial 16S ribosomal RNA". It matches the Rfam family "Bacterial small subunit ribosomal RNA", at positions 28 to 263 of the family's 1533-position model. The record is from RNAcentral.
GACGAACGCUGACGGUGUGCUUUAGACAUGCAAGUCGAGCGAGAAAGCCCUUCGGGGUUAGUAAAGCGGCGAACGGGUGAGUAACACGUGGGCAAUCUGCCCCUCGCAGGGGGACGAACCGGGGGAAACGUCCGGCUAAUACCCCGUAACGUUUCCAAAGUCGCAUGGCAUUGGAAAGAAAGGUAGCUUCGGCCAUCCGGCGAGGGAUGAGCCCGCGGUACAUUAGCUAGUUGGUGGGGUAACGC